CGUCACGGAUCGUGAUGUUCACAAAUAUCGCCACGAGUCGCGAUAACGUACAAUGUGUGUGAUGUAAUAUAUGUGUAAAAAAAUUUGUAUUUUCGUCGGGAGAUAGUAGAGACGAUAAUAUUUCGACCUAGUUUAGAAAAAAUAUUGUGCGCAGCUGAACUGUAUGGCGAUAUCUGCUUUCCCGAGAAGGAUCAAGAAAGCGAAAAAACAGUGGCUAGUAAAUUGCAAGAAGAAUACUGUGUGAAUUAUAAAAAAUAAUAUCAUAUAAAUAUAUGCAAGGAUAAAAGUACUUUUCAAUCAGUCUGCUAUAUUUCCAUAUUAAUUGUACAUUUUACAUCAUGACGGAAGAAAAGGGGAACAAUUUUUCUAUGAAACAACAAAAGCUAUCACAGAAUAAAAAAGUUGAUGAAAGUAAACGUGAUAAGCUAAGGUAUAUAGAAACAUUAUUUAAAAAGCACUUCACAAUUUCGGAUGUCAGUCAAGGGCAAAGACAAACAUAUACAUUACCCGAGCCCGAGUCUAUGUUUAAGGAACCGCCAUGGCGGCUGGAUAAUUUACAAAUAUUGAAGGAUAGUCUAAACGAGAUGAAGAGUCGCCUCAACAAUUUCAAUCUGUACGAAUGGCAGCAGCAUACGCACCAGAUGAACAAAGCGGGCGACAUCGUGAGCUCUGUGAAAAGGAACGUACAAGGAGAACUCGUGACUCAAGCCUGGUGUAAAUUCUAUGAGAUCGCUUCUAACUUUUUCUUGAUUCCAUUAAAUGAGAUUCGUCGCGAAGAAAACGGUAAUAAUUUCAUUUCUGUCCAUCUGUGCGAAGCACCAGGCGCCUUUGUGACUGCCCUAAAUCACUGGUUAAAGACAAAUGCGCCUGAUGUGCAAUGGAAUUGGUUGGCCACCACAUUAAAUCCUUACUGCGAGGGAAAUUCAUACGACAGGAUGGUCGCCGAUGACAGAUUCAUCAGGUAUACGCUGAAGCAUUGGUGCUUCGGCGCCGAUAAUACGGGCGAUAUCAUGGAUCUUAGAAAUCUAGACGUUCUGGUAAAGAGAUGCAAACUUCUCGAUGGAGGAAAACGAAUCCUUCUGAUCACCGCGGAUGGAAGUAUAGAUUGCACGGAUGUGCCGGGAGAGCAAGAAAGCGCCGUAGCACAAUUGCACUUAUGCGAAACGGUGACUUGUAUGCACCUCUUGCAAAAGGGUGGUAAUUUUCUUCUGAAGCUCUUUACCUUAUUCGAGCAUCAAUCCGUAUGCCUUAUGUAUCUGCUAUCUUGCGCCUUCCAACGGGUCAUCGUAACGAAGCCGGCGUCUAGCAAACCAGGAAAUUCGGAAAUGUAUGUCGUCUGUAUAAAUUUCAAAGGCAGAGAUUACGUAGCACCGUAUUUGAAUAUACUUAGGCAGCACUGCGGCAACGUGUCGCCUACAAAAGCGAUGUUUUAUCUGCGUGAUAUACCGGGUGAUUUUCUGCGGAAACUUGAGGAAUGCAGCGAGUUCUUCAAGCAUCAUCAGUAUCAAGUCAUAAAAGAUAACAUAAGCAUGUUUCGCGCGGAAAGAUCCAAUGAAAUCCCCUUUGAACUGAGACACGUCAAGCGGAUUGUCGCUAAUAAAUAUCUUAAAGAUUACAGAUUGAGUCGAAUAGAUUCCGUGAAUAAGAUAGUCGGCCGGGAGAUAUUAGAGAAGAGCAACAGUGGUUUCAUGAAUAAAAAAUGGCGUGUCGAUUCUUACAACGAGCGUUGCAAGAAGCAAGAUUUAGAACCGCGAGAACAUUUAUUGCAGAUAUGUAACGAAGCAAUGGAGAUCGACUCGCCAGCAGAAAAAUCUUACACUUGGCAUUUACGGACACCGCCAGAAACUUUAGAGAUACAAACGGGAAGAUCAUUUAACAAAAUACGCAGCUCGCACUUUUGUGACUCCAAAAUUCACCAGAUAUUAAACAAAAUUAACGAUAUAGUACGAGACACGCGCUCUAGUGUAUGUUUUCCAACGACAGAAAUUAUAAGAGAGCAGACGCAGCGAAUUGAUCCAACUCACGAGAUAUUGAGUUUCCAAUUCGUUCGCGAUUACGAUAGUCAUCAGAUAAUCGCUGAAAUUUACGAUCGAUUAGAAAAGUUUCGAACAGGACAAACACUCGUUCUCAUCGGCUACUCUUUGCUAACACAGUUGAACAUCGGUCUCUUACAUCUUCUGGGUGGUUUCUUCGAUAAGAUUACGAUAGAAAUUCAUGACAACGAAGGCUAUCGCAUAAAAUUGGAAUCUUAUAGACAUAAUGACAAAAUAUUGAAUGAUUUGCGCGAAAUACUUACUGCGUCGAAUAAUGCACGCAAAGAUAAUAUGACAGUCUGGUCGAUAAUACCCAUAACGAUUUUAUAUGAAUGUGACCAGUUUCCCUUGAUAAUGCAACUUAAUCACUUGGUGAUCAAAUUGUAUGCUCAUCACGUCAGAAAUUCUAUACAUGAUGUGAUUGUAUAAUUAUAAAAAUAUAAAUUUACUUAUAUUUAUAAUUAAAAUUAUAUAUACAUUCUCUCUUUUUUAAAUGUAAUUGUAAAUAAUUUGUAAAUAAUUUGUGAAUCUAUAAAUAUCGUUUGCAUUGUAAAUGUUUCAUCUUUUAUUAUGAAUAACACAUACAUAUAUAAAGCUUUGUAAAUUGUACGAUAUAAAACGAAAUGUCAUUAAUGGAAAAAAAUGAUCGCAUGUAUGGGCAAAUAAUACAAAACAAAAAUGAUUCAAGAUCGACACUUAUAGGUCACGUUUGUUUCAUAACAACGGAUGACCGGCGUUUUGGGAUCAUGUUUGAUGUAUAAACCGAGAUUUCGCUUUCUAGAAAAGAGCGAUUUCUCAGGAAUAACAAAACAGCGUUGUACGAGAUCUCGGCGAAGUCUUUGGAGGCGUAUUGUAACUGUGUAAAAAUUCCGGUGCCACAUUUUAGAUCGACGCCAUUGC
Molecule: RNA transcript, 2933 nt
Organism: Cataglyphis hispanica
Lineage: Eukaryota; Metazoa; Arthropoda; Insecta; Hymenoptera; Formicidae
Gene: dare
Gene name: NADPH:adrenodoxin oxidoreductase, mitochondrial
Exons: 5
Source: RefSeq, a predicted model, not a curated record